CCUCAAACUCAUCAGAAUUCUGUUGGCGAUAUUAUAAUUCUCGUCCUUUAUCUGUUAGUUGAUUACAUAUGAGUGUCAACCAUCCUUAGUUGGCACUCAUAUGUAAUCAAUUAUUUGUGGUAGAUUCUGAAAUGGCCUAGUUGUUUAAUAUAUGAUAAAUCUAAAAAGCAGCAUAAAGAAAAGGAUAUAAUUUUAUUCGAAAACAAUACUUUUAAAAUAAUCUAUAUUGCAACAGCAUCAGCCGGAUGGCCACGUGGCAGUGUGUUGUGCUUCCACCCAGUUCUCGAUUCCCACACUCCAAGUUUCUUCAGAAAUGGUGCAGGUCUCCACUUGUAGCUAAGUUCAUGAAGAGAUGUAGGCAGAACAUGGCGGAGAAGGAAAUGCCCUGUCGCUUAGUACUCGCCAAGUGGAAAGUGGCGAGGCAUUCCCCUGCCACUUUCCUUUUAGAAAAAUCUGUGUAUACCGUACGCAUAAAUUUUAUAAAUUUUUCUCUUGACGUGUACUAAAUAUUCUUAAUACAUAUUUUGGAAUCCCUUAGUAUUCUUCCUGAAAGUAUAACGCAAUGCUAUAGUUCUACUAUGUAUAAUUUGUGUAUAUAUAUAUAUUAUCUAUAUGUAUUGCAUAUAUAUGUUUAGUAUUGAGUUUUGAGAGAAG
Molecule: long non-coding RNA, 654 nt
Filed under: Androctonus crassicauda
Lineage: Eukaryota; Metazoa; Arthropoda; Arachnida; Scorpiones; Buthidae
Source: RNAcentral